AUGCGAUACUUGGUGUGAAUUGCAGAAUCUCGUGAACCAUUGAGUCUUUGAACGCAAGUUGUGCCCGAGGCCUUCUGGCCGAGGGCACGCCUGCUUGGGAGUCAUGGCAUCGUCGCCUUCGCACCCCCACGUUGAAAAAUGCCGGUGCUGAGCGCGUAAAUUGGCCCCGUGUGCCCCCGGGCACAGUCGGCCGAAGAGUGGGCAGUCGCCAAUCGUCGGGCACGAUGGGUGUUGGUCGCCGUGAGCGGGAACAGAACGUCGUCCCCGUCGUAUUGGGAUGAGUCCCCAAGAGACCCCGUGUGAUCGUGGCGUCAGGUCAAAAAAUGCCGCCGCGUCCAUCAACUUGUGGCCCCAAGUCAGGCGAGACCACCCGCCGAGUUUAAGCAUAUCAAUAAG
RNAcentral lists this ribosomal RNA (396 nucleotides) under Kaempferia lopburiensis. Its description in RNAcentral is "eukaryotic LSU rRNA". The stretch from base 1 to 104 matches the Rfam family "5.8S ribosomal RNA", at positions 53 to 154 of the family's 154-position model. The record is from RNAcentral. Lineage: Eukaryota; Viridiplantae; Streptophyta; Magnoliopsida; Zingiberales; Zingiberaceae.